CAUCAACUGAUGAGCUCUCAAGUAAUGCAAACUUCCCAUCCAGCUCACUUGUGGCUAACUGGCCAAGGGCUUCUGCUUCUGAUUCCAUUGCCAUUACUAUAAAAGUGAAAAGAAUAAGAAAGAAAAACAUAAGUUUAGAUCCAAAUCAAUUUCUAUUCUUCAUUAGCAAUAAUACAGAACAGUUCUUGACACUGCAUUUGUAGCAGCUGUUGAGAAAAGCAAGAUCUUAAAUAUUUUUUAUUAAAAGCAAAUAAGAUUUAUUUUAAGGUGUUUUUGGUAUGUUCAAGACAAAAAAACUCAAACAGCUCAAAAGCAGUUGCUAACUGCUUUUUGGAAAAGCUUCUAAAUCCUAAUAUCAUGCUUUUCCAAAGCAGUGACAAGAAUAGUGCCUAACAUGCAGGCAAAAUGCCCUGUAGUAUGGGUUUGAGCAACCAGAAAGGAUGAACAACAUUAAGACAUAUCCCAUGACAAUAUCAAACUGUUGACACUAGCAAUAGAUUAUUUAAUAAGGAAAUUCUAUUAUAUAAAUAAAUAUGUUCUGAGAAUUUAAAACAUAGCUAAUGUGAAAGACCUUAUUGUCUUAAAUAAGGAAAUGGAGAAGCCACAGGCCAAAUAGUCAAGAAUCAAACAAGCACUCAGAAAGUAUAGUGCAAUAUUUGGAAGAACAGAGGAGAUAUACCACUAAAUAUGUUUGCUCAAGUACAUCUUAUGUAUGUAAUGCAGGAUAUAGUAUGAGUGAUCAAGUUAUGAAUAAGUAUGGUGCAUAUGGGGAAAUUGACAAAUAAAAAGAGAACGUGGGGCAGUAAAGAGAAAAGGGAGGCUUUGUACAUGCUGAAAUAGUAACUUAGCAACAUUACAAAUCAUUAGAACUAUGUGUGCAAGUCAUUGUCUCAUUGAUAUAUAUAUUCUCCAAGGGCUAUGAGUUAAGCAUUUGAGACAAUUCCAUGGUACAUGUAAGUGCAUGCAGGCAGUUGGGGAUCAGAAAUGAAAUGAACAAAAGCAGAGACUUUAGAUAUAGAGAAAUACAGAGAUUGAUUCCAGAUGUUUUAC
RNAcentral lists this unclassified non-coding RNA (1050 nucleotides) under Hevea brasiliensis (rubber tree). The record is from RNAcentral. Lineage: Eukaryota; Viridiplantae; Streptophyta; Magnoliopsida; Malpighiales; Euphorbiaceae.